Molecule: long non-coding RNA, 1878 nt
Filed under: Pomacea canaliculata
Lineage: Eukaryota; Metazoa; Mollusca; Gastropoda; Architaenioglossa; Ampullariidae
Description: uncharacterized LOC112553638
Source: RNAcentral
GCAGGCACCAUUGCAAGCGCGGCUGUAAGGGGAGCUAAGUCGGCAGCAACAGCUGUCAGAGUUGUGUCCCCUUUGUUGGCAACCGUCAGCAUCCUGGCGCUGCCUCUGGAUCUUGCCGAUUUAAUAACAGCCGCCCACAGUCUGCACAGAGGCGAACGGUCUCCUGCAUCGGAGUCCCUCGAGAGGAUCAUAACCUUCCUUGAUAAGGUCAUCAAGGGUGAGUUGCAGUGAACAGGCUGUCGGCAUUGUGCAGAAACUUUCAUCCAUUACUUGGCCUCGUAAUAUCAGGCUACUGUACAAACAUCAUGUCUGAAACCCAUAUUCUUUAGUGCAAGUGAGGGCGGCCAGUCCUAAAGGGAGCGAGCGCCAGGAAAGGGCGUAUCUGAACAUUAGCGGCGAUGAAUUCACAUCGAGGCUGCAACGCAUUUACAGGCCAGAAGGAGACUGGUCUCUAUUGGGAGAAGAAUCUCAGCUGUUCUGUGUCUAUGAAAGGCGGACACGUUUGAGAAUAUAGAACUGCCAGGGGCCAGGCAUGUAACAAAUGCAGAACAAUUCCUGAAUAUGGUUGUAGGUAGUGGUGCCCUCUUUUGUGCUGGAGUUGUAAAGUCCAUGCUGCUCCAAUUACAUAAAAAAAUCGCAACUGUAAGUGUAAGGUCGCCUUUCCUAUAAUUUUAUUAUUUCCCCUCCCUCUAGGAAUAAAAUGUGGACGAUGUGGACGUAAAGAGCUCACCAAUACUUUAGUUUUUUUGUGAAAUCCCCAAAAUGCAUUUUUGUUGACACUAACAUUAACAUGAAUAGGACUACUUAAAUUUAACCCCUAUUUAGCAAUAAAUCAUUCAAAAAUAAAUCAGAACACUUAGUGUUCCUUCUUCGAAAGCUCAAAUAAUUCUUUGCUGGGGCUGGAUUAAAUCAGCAAAUUAGUGUUAACUUCAUGAUUUUAAAAUUUGGUUCACUUAACCUAACUUUACUCAAAUGGGGUAGGUAAACAAAAUAGGUAAAAGAAAAUUGAUCAUAUUAGAGAAAGGAAAUAUCCCAAAGCAAAAAAACCCCCAAAAAACAAACAAACAAACAACAUCAACAACAACAAAACAAAACAAAAACAAAAAACAAGCAAUAAUGACAGUCCCGAGUUUAGAACACUUCACUUAUCAAACUAAAGCCGCUGUUUGCAACCACUAGGCUACAGAAGCGUAGCUCACGAAGUCCUCUAAUCAAACCUACUUGAAGUUAUCAUCGUCCGUGUUGUGUUCGGUCCUCAUUUAUUUUACCUGUUACCAGUUGCAGGCCUUGAGUUAUUUUGCUUGUCGCAAUUCACUUUAUGCCUCCCUUCCUAGUGUUUAAAAGUUGUUGAAUUAACCCCAGAACAAGUUUCAUGGCUGGCAAAGAGUGAAGUGGAGGUUUUUACUCAGUGUGGUCGGCUCAGCUCGCUGACGUCACGCUUCCGAAGGUUCCCGAAGUUUUUCCCUUCACUGCGACCUUUGCGAAAAAUAAAUCAGCGCCCCGGGGCUUGUUCGCUCUCGGCGGCCAUUGAAUACAUUAAACUAAUUGUGACCAUGAAAGAACCUAAUCUCGAAGCAUUGCUACAGCGAGAAUGUAACUAUUGAAAACUACUCAUUCAGUGGAAAUGUUACUCUAAAGGAAUUUGUCAGGAAUAUCUCAUUACUUCAUUUUUUUUUCUUGUUCUCGCUCCAUGAAUACGGUCAGAGAUUGUACAGUUAGGUUAGUACCCAAAGUAUUAGAAUCUUUUGACUGAUACGAUAAUGAAGGAAAAUUUUAAGAUGAAACCUGGCCAAAACUGUAAAGUGAAAAAACGCAAAAUACCCGUUCAGCAAUUGUGAAAUCCUACAGCUUGAAAUAAAAAUGUUUCUUGAGUAUAAA